This 870-nucleotide ribosomal RNA is filed under the name Bracteacoccus pseudominor. RNAcentral describes it as "bacterial SSU rRNA". It matches the Rfam family "Eukaryotic small subunit ribosomal RNA", at positions 23 to 1278 of the family's 1831-position model. Lineage: Eukaryota; Viridiplantae; Chlorophyta; Chlorophyceae; Sphaeropleales; Bracteacoccaceae. The record is from RNAcentral.
AUAUUAUGUUUUUUUUACAGAGCGCACUGGGCCGCCAAACAUGACGCAAUCAGAAAUGAGGGGGACGAUGUGACAAUCAAAUCACAAUCCGGGCAUUUAAGUUUUGUAAUUGUGAUGCAAACAAUUUAACUCCAUGAACGAGGAGUCGUGGGCGGCAAGCUAUUGUUGCCAGCAGCCGCGGCUAUUCCCGCUCCUACUCCGCGUAUAUCUAAAAUAUUAGCAAUUAAAAGCUGGUAGGUGGGUUUCGGGGCGCCUUUCAGCAGUCAACCUAGGUUGAGUAUUGUUGUGGCUUGAGUUAAUGCGGGGCCUUGAUUCUGGACAUCUUUGUACAGUACUGAGAUUACGCAUGGUUUUACUAAGUAAAAUGGAUUUAUCAAGGCGGGCCCCCCCGAAGAAAACGUUGGCGAGGAAUAACAUGAUAGGAGUUUACCAUAUUAUGGUGGCUUGUAGGCGUGGGAUAAUUAUUAAGAGGAACAGUGGGGGGCCUUCGUUUUUCAUUGUCAGAGGUGAAAUUCUGGGAUAUAUGAAAGAGGAAUUAAUAAGAAAGCAUUUGCCAAGGAUGUUUUCAUUAAUCAAGAACGAAAGUUGGGGGCUCGAAGGCGAUUAGAUACCGUUGUAGUCUCAACCAUAAACGAUGCCGACUAGGGAUUGGCGGACGUUUUUGCAUGACUCCGUCAGCACCUUGAGAGAAAUCAAAGUUUUUGGGUUCCGGGGGGAGUAUGGUCGCAAGGCUGAAACUUAAAGGAAUUGACGGAAGGGCACCACCAGGAGUGGAGCCUGCGGCUUAAUUUGACUCAACACGGGAAAACUUACCAGGUCCAGACAUAGGAAGGAUUGACAGAUUGAGAGCUCUUCUGAGCUAUGGGGGCC